AGCCCACUUACUCUAAAUCCAACUUUUUAAAAAAAAUAAGAGUUAAAAAUGCCACUUGUGAAAAAGUAUCCACACGUGAGAAGGAUGAGUAUUGACACGAUCUUUAUCAGCCAUAUCUAACGAUAUGGUUCAGCUUUGUCGCUGGACUUUAGAUCCAUCAUCGCUAGCUCCUUCUAUAGGUUUACCGCCGCCGGCCUGCCAAAUUUUGCUCUCAAUUCAAAAAUUCUUCAAAAAAAGCUCCACCUCAAAACCUUAAAAGGUCCACUUCAUACCAGUCUUCAUACCAGUCGGUAGUAAGUUACAAGGAUAUUAGUCCUUUAGAAGAGCCAAGCCGACAGUAAAUCAUACAUAAUCUAAACAAGAUUUAAUUUUAAGUCAUGUAGAAAGAGAAAACACAAAAAUCCAGCACUUAGACAAAACUAAGUUUGG
Long non-coding RNA from Arabidopsis thaliana (thale cress), 429 nucleotides. RefSeq annotates it as other RNA. Lineage: Eukaryota; Viridiplantae; Streptophyta; Magnoliopsida; Brassicales; Brassicaceae. The transcript is spliced from 2 exons. The record is from RefSeq.